AUACGGAGGGGGCUAGCGUUGUUCGGAAUUACUGGGCGUAAAGGGCGCGUAGGCGGGCUGGUCAGUCAGAGGUGAAAGCCCGGGGCUCAACCCCGGAACUGCCUUUGAUACUACCAGUCUAGAGUUCGAGAGAGGUGAGUGGAAUUCCUAGUGUAGAGGUGAAAUUCGUAGAUAUUAGGAAGAACACCAGUGGCGAAGGCGGCUCACUGGCUCGAUACUGACGCUGAGGUGCGAAAGCGUGGGGAGCAAACAGGAUUAGAAACCCCAGUAGUCC
RNAcentral lists this ribosomal RNA (274 nucleotides) under uncultured bacterium. Its description in RNAcentral is "partial 16S ribosomal RNA". It matches the Rfam family "Bacterial small subunit ribosomal RNA", at positions 523 to 796 of the family's 1533-position model. The record is from RNAcentral.